Molecule: transfer RNA, 72 nt
Filed under: Bos taurus (domestic cattle)
Lineage: Eukaryota; Metazoa; Chordata; Mammalia; Artiodactyla; Bovidae
Also listed under: 5 other names
Rfam family: tRNA
About the family: Transfer RNA (tRNA) molecules are approximately 80 nucleotides in length. Their secondary structure includes four short double-helical elements and three loops (D, anti-codon, and T loops). Further hydrogen bonds mediate the characteristic L-shaped molecular structure. tRNAs have two regions of fundamental functional importance: the anti-codon, which is responsible for specific mRNA codon recognition, and the 3' end, to which the tRNAs corresponding amino acid is attached (by aminoacyl-tRNA synthetases). tRNAs cope with the degeneracy of the genetic code in two manners: having more than one tRNA (with a specific anti-codon) for a particular amino acid; and 'wobble' base-pairing, i.e. permitting non-standard base-pairing at the 3rd anti-codon position.
Source: Rfam by way of RNAcentral
UUCCCUAUGGCUUAGCUGGUAAAGAAUCCACCUGCAAUGUGGGAGACCUGGGUUCAAUCCCUGGGUUGGAAA